CAACCCACAUAGACGAUCUCUACGACAGUGCCCUUCUAAAAAUCUCCUCCACCACCUCAACGACAGUCGUCAAGAAAGAAACGAUGACGACACGCCGCAAGAGACUUUUGGACGAAGCACGCGGCUCCAUCGAGGAGACGAGCAUAGGGACUGCUGAGCUGGUGGUGCCGCAUGGUGUGCCCGACCCAAGAGGCCGCUCGCGCGGAGGCUUCGUGGCGGCUUAGAAAGAAGGUAGCCAGUGGUUACUUGAGCGACGGUAGAGAUGGCUAGACUUGAUUUCGGUGGCCGGUCUUGGAGGGAUGGUUCCGGCCCGUCCACCUGCUGAGUGGGGGACCUAGUCGGCUCGCCUCUCCUCUCCGUCGAACGUCUAACUAACCUCCUCCAGCUUCUAGUCAGGGCGGCCGCUAGUCUAGCGAUGCCAGUGUUAUUGGAUCCGGGAUGUAGCAGCAGGGACGAGCGUCAAAGACGAACCGCGGCGGCAGGUAGGCUGGCGAGUCGGGCGCGAAGUCGCCUCUACGUCUCCUGCCACCUAAAGUUCGAGGGGGUGAAGAAGUUGAUGGGNNNNNNNNNNNNAAACGUCGGACACUCUCUUUGUGCACUUUUCGUUCACGUCGAUACCUUUCUCGACUAUGAACUAAUGACAUCUUCAGUUUUCUACAUAUAUUAGAGGGACCUUCUUCUAAAAGGCAACAAGAGGUUAGGUUUCUAACUCUCUAGAGAUUCGAUACUUCGUUUCCUUCACAAGGAACGUCGAGAACAAUCACUUCCCGCGCGUCUCACCUAACUGUUUUUAGUGUUCUUCACAGAGCAAGAAACCGACGCCUAAGUUCUAACCCGAUUGACGUAUAAUCUGAAGCAUUUCCUUUUACCCAACCUUCAUUGUUGUUAACUUCUAUAUGCGAGACCUUAACUUUGUGUACCCUGGCUUGAACGCCCUUAACUAGCACCACAGGAGUACGCUCGAAACUCCGACGACCUUGUCUUCCCUUUCCGUCAAUAGAAAUUCCCGUCAAGUCGUCUGCUACUUCCGCAGUUUAAAAGACAAAUUUGAAACACAUGAUCGGGGGUUGAUUGUCUACUUAUUAGAGCUGGCCACAGGAACUUGUACUAUGUAGGGAAGAAUGGGCAUGUGACUAGUGUAGGAAGGCCGCACAAAUAGCCGUAGUAAGUUUGGAACUAUAAAUAAACGAGAUAAGUGUAAAGGGCUUGACAACAUAAAUCGGAAGAUAAGUAGAAGUCGUAUAUAUGGAUAUUUUGACGUACAACACACAGAGUAUUCCGAGUUGAUCACAGAGUCGUAUAUAAGUCUUGGUUAGCAACUAACUAUAUACCGAACAAUCUUACCUUCCUUAAACUUGUUCAUUUUAUUUUAUUUUAUCCCAUUCGAAUAGUUCUAUCGUGCGAAGUCGACCUUCUUUCCUUACAUAAGAUCUUUGAUCACAGUCAAAGAGUGUGUAACGUCAAGUUAAGGGCGUCUAAGAACACUGCGUGCGAGGUAAUCGCAAAAACUAUGAUCUUGCCGAGAAUAUCAUAAUACCUGGCUCCCUCCCUCAUCGAAAGAACACAAUUGUAGUGAUAGCCAACAGUCCGUUAGUCGGUGGGUUUGUUUUUCGGCCCAAGGUGAGUACAGGUGAACCCGACGUACUUAACCUAAGAGAGCGGGGCAGUGACUGUACGUCCGGUGCUCCUUAGUUAGUCAGCCGUCCCGGAGGGUGGUCUUAGACGUCUAAGAAAUAAAAAGUAAGUGCUAAUAAUAUUAUAGUCCUCCUCUGCGCCGACGGAAAGGCAGCCACAGUGAGGUGCAGUCAAGAGAGGUAGGUAGUUAGAUAACCGCAACUAACUCUCUUCUUUUCUUCCCAUAUUGGGACAAGUAGUCGUCGGUGAUUAUGCUUUCCCCCAGCCACGUUCACGUCGCCUACCUACCCCGUAAACUAGACUACGGUGGGCGGAAACGGCUAGUCGGUACCGUGGCGUGGUGAUUUUUCAUUCGUUCGUCCAGGGUUGGCGUAACUUCCUGCUAAGCUGCCUUUGCUUAUUUAUUUUGGUCGUGCGUUUGGACGUAGUUCUGUCUGUCUGUCGCUCGUUUCCUUGCCCUCCGGGUAAAUGUAUAUAUCGGGACGACGAGGACCGGGGAAAGGGGUCAAGGCAGGGUAAUAACCAAGAACGCUCCUCCCCCCGCCUCUUUGCCUUCGUCCUCCGUCUCUCCUCUAGCUCGGUCUCCCGCCGCUCGUUCCCGCGCUACCGCAGGUUCUCCUAUGUCUUCCUCGAAUUCCUAGACGUCUUCCUGGGGGGAUGGAGUACGUCGCGUCCAGGACACCCACUUCUAUACAAGGUAACCGUCCGUUGUUAUUACCCGGGUAGACUGUCGGGUAUAAGACCACCUCAAAAGGAUCAAUGAUAGGUGAAGGGAGGACUAAUAGGAAAGUUUGGUGGUUUCCACCGUAAGGCGUGGUUCCACAAGGUAGGUUUGUAGUUGUCGUUGCCCUCGUAAACAGACCUGUAGGAGUUCCUGGUUACCUCGGGGCGAGACUGGUAAAGGUUCCACGACGACAGGUAGACGAGGGACGACACACUGGGCUUGGGACUACUGGGAGACCAGGGACUCUAGCGGGUGUACAUGUUCUGCCUGGCCGUGUUCAUGCUCUCGUGGCGGUCCUGGACCUGCGUUUCCAUACGGUACAUUACGUUCUGCCGCCUACCCAGCGGCCUCAGUCAGAACAAACAUUGUAAGAGCUAGUCAAGCACACACGGGCGGGUCACACAGUGGACAGACAGUUUGACCGUGAGCAACGAGUUGACACAGUGGACCGCGUCACUGAACCUUGUACCUUGGCCACAACGUAUAAAACCUAAGUCUAUUUACAUCGGUGGACGGACGG
Molecule: ribosomal RNA, 2879 nt
Filed under: Triticum aestivum (bread wheat)
Lineage: Eukaryota; Viridiplantae; Streptophyta; Magnoliopsida; Poales; Poaceae
Description: partial small subunit ribosomal RNA
Source: RNAcentral